GCUUACGGCCACACCGCCUGGUUCACGCCCGAUCUCGUUUGAUCUCGGAAGCUAAGAUAGGUUAGGGCCUGGUUAGUACUUGGAUGGGAGACCUGCCUGGGAAUACCAGGUGCUGUAGCUU
RNAcentral lists this ribosomal RNA (121 nucleotides) under Scophthalmus maximus (turbot). Lineage: Eukaryota; Metazoa; Chordata; Actinopteri; Pleuronectiformes; Scophthalmidae. The record is from RNAcentral.